This 253-nucleotide ribosomal RNA is filed under the name uncultured bacterium. RNAcentral's name for it is "partial 16S ribosomal RNA". It matches the Rfam family "Bacterial small subunit ribosomal RNA", at positions 524 to 776 of the family's 1533-position model. The record is from RNAcentral.
UACGGAGGUGGCUAGCGUUGUUCGGAAUUACUGGGCGUAAAGCGCACGUAGGCGGCUUUGUAAGUUAGAGGUGAAAGCCCGGGGCUCAACUCCGGAAUUGCCUUUAAGACUGCAUCGCUAGAAUUGUGGAGAGGUAAGUGGAAUUCCGAGUGUAGAGGUGAAAUUCGUAGAUAUUCGGAAGAACACCAGUGGCGAAGGCGACUUACUGGACACAUAUUGACGCUGAGGUGCGAAAGCGUGGGGAGCAAACAGG